Molecule: long non-coding RNA, 1313 nt
Organism: Zea mays
Lineage: Eukaryota; Viridiplantae; Streptophyta; Magnoliopsida; Poales; Poaceae
Exons: 3
Source: RefSeq, a predicted model, not a curated record
GAUGCCCGGACGCCGCCUCGCUGUGAUGCUCUCCCGAUCUCCACGUCUCGCAGGGGACGACCCGAGGCUGUCGAUCGACGCGUUGACUUCGUCAUUGAAACCCUUAACAGGUGGGCACAGUGGCUUAUCGAUGGGCACCAGGCGACUGUGACAAAUAUCUAGGAGGGAGCAAGGGAAGACGAUGGCAACGAUUUGCUAGAGAUGCAGGCAUAUGACCCUGAGACAUAUAAUGACAAGGUCAACGGAGCGCUCUGUGUGGUGAGUGUUCUGAAAAUUGUAUUGUAACUUGCAGGAAUUAGGGAUGGCACAACCAGUUUCGCAUAUUGUAUAGUAGAAGAAACAUAGUAAUCUCAACUACUUGUUAAAAAUAGCAACGAACUGUAGUGGAUUUCAUAGGUAGUAGGAUUUAUGGAAUAACUUUGCGUAGACUAUUUGUUCACUUGUUUGGGUAGUAGUAUCAUGGCCAGAUCAUUGUCAUGGAGGCAAGCAUGUGCUCAAGACUAGAGGAGUAGUGGAUUUCAUAGGUAGUAGGAUUUCAUAGGUAGUAGGAUUUAUGGAAUAUCUUUGUCCAUCGGUUUGGUUUUAGUUUCAUUUCACGUCAAAGGUUGUCAUGACAUUUAUUCAUCGUUUGAUAAAUAUGUUGAAGUCGAACAUCUAGAGGAUGAUAACAAGUGUAACGAACCAUCUUGUUGUUCGUUAAGAUAAAAGGCCAGAGCAUGGACAUGUCACAAGGUGAUGGUGAUGCAGCUACGUCGAUCAUGAUUCAUUUAGGAUUGAAUGAAGUUACUGGUGUGACCUUGUCGAGACUGAAGUAAGGAGGGAUAGAGCUAAAAACUCUCUUGACAGUAAGGUAUGAUCUUCAUGCUCAGGGAUUUUUGUUUGAGGUGCUUGGUUGUUUCUUUUCUAUGAAUGUUCUGUGAAUGCUUGUAAGCUGGUAACCCUAGAAAUACUCAUGUUAAGCUUUCAAUAUCAGCUGGACCGUUUGGUCCUUGGUCUAAAAGGAUUAAAGUCAAUGAGUUAUUUCUUCUCUGUGCACCUCCUCUUCGUGUAUCAGUGGUGAUGCCGCAAUGACAAAAGAUGGAUAAAGUAGUAUUAGAAGGGGACAAGGAUUCAUGGACUCAAAUUGAUACCUCAUCCCAGAUACCAGUAUUUCAAUCCCUAAGUUGCCAGAAAAAAUAGAUAUGUCAGAAAGGCGUUGAUGUUAAAAAUAGUAUAACAGAAUGAAAACAGGAAAUAAAGAAAAAAAACCUUGCUGUUGCAAAAUAAGUAAAAACAAAUACAAUACUUUGACUGGUUACAUAAGUGCAAGAGAA